Molecule: ribosomal RNA, 1388 nt
Filed under: uncultured bacterium
Lineage: Bacteria
Description: bacterial SSU rRNA
Rfam family: Bacterial small subunit ribosomal RNA
Source: RNAcentral
AGAGUUUGAUCCUGGCUCAGGAUGAACGCUGGCGGCGUGCUUAACACAUGCAAGUCGAACGGGAAUGUUUCGCUGAUGCGAUUUCGGUCAAAUCUUGAAGCAUUUUAGUGGCGGACGGGUGAGUAACGCGUGGGUAACCUGCCCUGUACAGGGGGACAACAGUUGGAAACGACUGCUAAUACCGCAUAAGCGCACAGCUUCGCAUGAAGCAGUGUGAAAAACUCCGGUGGUACAGGAUGGACCCGCGUCUGAUUAGAUAGUUGGUGAGGUAACGGCCCACCAAGUCAACGAUCAGUAGCCGGCCUGAGAGGGCGAACGGCCACAUUGGGACUGAGACACGGCCCAAACUCCUACGGGAGGCAGCAGUGGGGAAUAUUGCACAAUGGGGGAAACCCUGAUGCAGCGACGCCGCGUGAGUGAAGAAGUAUUUCGGUAUGUAAAGCUCUAUCAGCAGGGAAGAAAACAAUGACGGUACCUGACUAAGAAGCCCCGGCUAACUACGUGCCAGCAGCCGCGGUAAUACGUAGGGGGCAAGCGUUAUCCGGAUUUACUGGGUGUAAAGGGAGCGUAGACGGUAGACCAAGUCUGAAGUGAAAGCCCGGGGCUCAACCCCGGAACUGCUUUGGAAACUGGUAAACUAGAGUGCAGGAGAGGUAAGUGGAAUUCCUAGUGUAGCGGUGAAAUGCGUAGAUAUUAGGAGGAACACCAGUGGCGAAGGCGGCUUACUGGACGGUAACUGACGUUGAGGCUCGAAAGCGUGGGGAGCAAACAGGAUUAGAUACCCUGGUAGUCCACGCGGUAAACGAUGAAUGCUAGGUGUCGGGUGACGAAGUCAUUCGGUGCCGCCGCAAACGCAUUAAGCAUUCCACCUGGGGAGUACGUUCGCAAGAAUGAAACUCAAAGGAAUUGACGGGGGCCCGCACAAGCAGUGGAGUAUGUGGUUUAAUUCGACGCAACGCGAAGAACCUUACCAAGUCUUGACAUCCUGCGACGGUGCUGGAAACAGUACUUUCCUUCGGGGCGCAGAGACAGGUGGUGCAUGGUUGUCGUCAGCUCGUGUCGUGAGAUGUUGGGUUAAGUCCCGCAACGAGCGCAACCCUUAUGGUCAGUUACUACGCAAGAGGACUCUGGCCAGACUGCCGUUGACAAAACGGAGGAAGGUGGGGAUGACGUCAAAUCAUCAUGCCCUUUAUGACUUGGGCUACACACGUACUACAAUGGCGUUAAACAAAGAGAAGCAAGACCGCGAGGUGGAGCAAAACUCAGAAACAACGUCCCAGUUCGGACUGCAGGCUGCAACUCGCCUGCACGAAGUCGGAAUCGCUAGUAAUCGCGAAUCAGAAUGUCGCGGUGAAUACGUUCCCGGGUCUUGCACACACCGCCCGUCA